GCCACGACAGCUGACUGUUUCCGUGCAUUCUCCAGCAGGAAUGUUUCCCAUGCUGCGACUGCUGUGUGUGCUGCUGCUCCAUGUAACAGCUCUUAUUUUGGUUUCUGGGUGAGCCACAGCAUUGGAAUGCCUCUCUGUGAUUCAUCUUCGGAGGUGGGACCACCCUGUAUGUUCGCAAUCAAAUAGACAUGGGGUCAGCGACGCUGUCCUGUCUGGUGAGUCACUUUAAGCCGGGCUUUGUGCAGGUCCUAUGGAGCGUGGAUGGGAAGGAAACAGACAGUGGGAUGACAACAAGUGCUGUAUCCCUGGACAGUGAUCAAAGCUACAGCCUGAGCAGUUACCUGACAGUCUCAGCCACCGACUGGAAGAAAGGGUCCAGGUAUUCCUGCAGUGUGAGGCACGGUUCACUUAACUCGCCUCUCCUCAACACCAUCAGUUCUAGUGACUGUUAGUCUGAGGAAAAUAAUGAUUCAGAUCAGUCGCUGUGAGACAUUCCGCAUUUUGUUGUUUGUUUUAGUUUUGCCAUGUAAUUUCUGCAGCAAUGUCAUUAUUUAGUGAAUAAUCUGACUAUUGAAGGGUAUCAGGAGCGGGUGAAAUGAUUAUUCCAUUUGGUGUGUGGAGAUUUCCUGUUGCAAUUGUCCCCAGAAGUUUGUGUGUAAACUUUAAUUCUGGGUAGAAUAGGGAGUACUCUCCCCUCUUUAGACAUUUACCAUUUUGCAUUUGUGAACGUUGUAACCACAGCUCUGAAUAAAUAUGAAAUGAUACC
Chiloscyllium plagiosum (whitespotted bambooshark) is the source of this 766-nucleotide non-coding RNA. The record is from RefSeq and is a predicted model, not a curated record. Lineage: Eukaryota; Metazoa; Chordata; Chondrichthyes; Orectolobiformes; Hemiscylliidae.